Long non-coding RNA from Esox lucius (northern pike), 751 nucleotides. RefSeq lists it as uncharacterized. Lineage: Eukaryota; Metazoa; Chordata; Actinopteri; Esociformes; Esocidae. The record is from RefSeq and is a predicted model, not a curated record. The transcript is spliced from 3 exons.
CUAUAAAAGCAGAACUAUCCCUCCACUCUGUACUACAACACCUGUUCACUAUUACCUUCAAGAGCUCCACUGCACCAAGGAAGAACACAGACACAGCAGUAAUGGAUAGGUGUAUACCACACUGUGGGGACAAAAACAAAGGUAGUUCCAUUGGCAACGUACAUGGAGGUGGAGGCAAUGCGAACAUUGGCAAUGCAUCAGGAGGUGGAGGAAGUCACAUUGGCAACGUACACGGUGGUGGAGGCAACGAGAACAUUGGCAAUGUAUCAGGAGGUGGAGGAAGUCACAUUGGCAACAUACAUGGGGGUGGAGGCAACGCCAACAUUGGCAACGUUGGAAAACCAUCUGGAUGCCAUUAGGGCCGCCAGAAGAGGACUGGUCACCCCUCUGAGCAUGGGUCCUCUCUAGGUUUCUUCCUAAAAUUCGACCUUCUUAGGGAGUUUUUCCUAGCCACUGAAAUUCAACACUAUUGUUGUUAACUCCUUGGGGUUUAAGGCCGGGUGUCUCUGUAAAGCACUUUGUGACUGCUGUUGUAAAAAGGGCUUUAUAAAUGAAUUUGAUUUGAUUGAUUCUUGUCCUCUUAGCUUCACCAAAAGCCUGUCAACAUCCCUGCUCACACUGGGGUGAAGAUUAUGAAAACUGGGUGCAUAUUAAAGUUCUUAGUUCUAUCAGAUUCACUCUAGGAGUAUGGUUUUAAUCAGCAUUGUAACCGUUCUUGUUUUUGUCAAAUAAAUAAAUGUUACAACACUGA